GCGGGCUUAGCUCAGUUGGGAGAGCGUCAGACUGAAGUGCACUUCGGACAUUGGAAUCUGAAGGUCGUGUGUUCGAUCCACACAGACCGCA
This is a transfer RNA of 91 nucleotides. It matches the Rfam family "tRNA". Rfam says of the family: Transfer RNA (tRNA) molecules are approximately 80 nucleotides in length. The record is from Rfam.